GAUGAACGCUGGCGGCGUGCCUAAUACAUGCAAGUCGAGCGAACAGAUGAGGAGCUUGCUCCUCUGACGUUAGCGGCGGACGGGUGAGUAACACGUGGAUAACCUACCUAUAAGACUGGGAUAACUUCGGGAAACCGGAGCUAAUACCGGAUAAUAUAUUGAACCGCAUGGUUCAAUAGUGAAAGACGGUUUUGCUGUCACUUAUAGAUGGAUCCGCGCCGCAUUAGCUAGUUGGUAAGGUAACGGCUUACCAAGGCAACGAUGCGUAGCCGACCUGAGAGGGUGAUCGGCCACACUGGAACUGAGACACGGUCCAGACUCCUGCGGCACGCAGCAGUACGGAAUCUUCCGCAAUGGGCGAAAGCCUGACGGAGCAACGCCGCGUGAGUGAUGAAGGUCUUCGGAUCGUAAAACUCUGUUAUUAGGGAAGAACAAAUGUGUAAGUAACUAUGCACGUCUUGACGGUACCUAAUCAGAAAGCCACGGCUAACUACGUG
RNAcentral lists this ribosomal RNA (497 nucleotides) under uncultured bacterium. RNAcentral describes it as "partial 16S ribosomal RNA". It matches the Rfam family "Bacterial small subunit ribosomal RNA", at positions 28 to 507 of the family's 1533-position model. The record is from RNAcentral.